CUCUGUGAUAUACUCAAUGUCUGGCAUGGGGAGUAAAAGAGAAGCAAUGCAGAAAUCCGAGUGCCAUAGAGGCGUACAGUUAAGAAACAGAGUGACAGAUAACUGUGAUCAAAAGACAUCAUCAAGUGCACAAAUAAAACAUAGGACUACAGUUCAACAAAGGAGAUCCUCCUCGUCAACCAGUUCUCCAGAAUCUGCAAGAAAACUUCAUCCUCGACCAAGUGAUAAACUUAACCCUAAAACAAUUAACCCUUUUGGUGAACAGUCACGAGCCCCUUCUGCAUUUGCAGCUAUUUACUCUAAGGGAGGUGUUCCUUGCAGAUUGGUCCAUGGUUCAGUAAAACACAGGUUACAGUGGGAGUGUCCUCCUGAAGAGCUUCCAUUUGAUCCUCUUCUUAUUACUUUAGCUGAGGGUCUGAGAGAGACGAAACAUCCAUACACCUUUGUGUCAAAGGAGGGUUUUAGAGAAUUACUUUUGGUCACAGGUGCUCUUGAAAAAGCUGUGCCUUUGCUUCCUAGACUGAUUCCUGUGCUGAAGGCAGCUCUGGUCCACUUGGAUGAUGAAGUGUUUGAAAGAGGAUUGAAUGCUCUGGUACAGUUAAGUGUCAUUGUUGGCCCUUCUCUAAAUGACCAUCUGAAACAUCUGCUUACAAGUCUUUCCAGGAGACUAAGGGACAAGAAAUUCAAAGAACCAAUCACCACUGCAUUACAGAAGCUGGAGCAGCAUGGUGGAAAUGGAAGCCUUACCAUCAUCAAAUCUAAAAUUCCAACAUAUUGCUCCAUAUACUGCUGAAGAAAGUAGCCCUGGUGACAGGUGUUAAACGCUGACCAUGGAGAAAGGAGUAGAGGGAGAGAAACAUCUGGGCAGGAAGAGAGCCGUUAGGGACCCGACUAGCCACACCAAAUCCAAGGCUGACAGACUUCUGAAGGGCUGGAGAUUAGGGGCAGCAAUAUUCUGUCCCGGAAGCCUCGGAGAACACCCUUUCUUUGCUCCACCCUCAGCUCCUGUCAUUCCUGGUCCCCUGUCUGGCACACUCUCUCCUCAGGUGUCUACUCUUGUCACAUCCUCAGGUCACAUCAGCUCACAUGCCUGCCUGCCCACUGGCCUUGCCCUGACUCCUCUUUCCUUGCACUUAGCUCCACCCGAAGACCGAGAUCUCUACCGUUUAGAAAAUGCCAUAAGAAAAAUGUAACGUUUUUAAUCUAGUAAUUAUAAAAUUUAUUGAAA
RNA transcript from Physeter macrocephalus (sperm whale), 1228 nucleotides. It is a transcript of the gene named parkin coregulated like, with no coding region annotated. The transcript has 11 exons. The record is from RefSeq and is a predicted model, not a curated record. NCBI's taxonomy places the organism in Eukaryota, Metazoa, Chordata, Mammalia, Artiodactyla, Physeteridae.